Molecule: ribosomal RNA, 537 nt
Filed under: uncultured bacterium
Lineage: Bacteria
Description: bacterial SSU rRNA
Rfam family: Bacterial small subunit ribosomal RNA
Source: RNAcentral
CAAGGAAUUUUGCGCAAUGGGCGAAACCUGACGCAGCGACGUCGCGUGGGGGAUGAAGGCCUUCGGGUUGUAAACCCUUUUCUCAGGGAAGAGUAAUGACGGUACCUGAGGAAUAAGUCUCGGCUAACUACGUGCCAGCAGCCGCGGUAAUACGUAGGAGGCGAGCGUUAUCCGGAUUCACUGGGCGUAAAGCGGACGCAGGCGGCUUUUCAAGUCGGAUGUAAAAUCUCCCGGCUCAACUGGGAGGGACCGUCCGAUACUGUUAGGCUAGAGUGCAGCAGAGGAAAGUGGAAUUCCCGGUGUAGUGGUGAAAUACGUAGAUAUCGGGAGGAACACCAGUGGCGAAAGCGGCUUUCUGGGCUGUUACUGACGCUGAGGUCCGAAAGCGUGGGGAGCAAACAGGAUUAGAUACCCUGGUAGUCCACGCCCUAAACAUUGGACACUAGGUAUGGGGAGUAUCGACCCUCUCCGUGCCGCAGCUAACGCUUUAAGUGUCCCGCCUGGGGACUACGGCCGCAAGGUAAAACUCAAAGGAAU